UACACUCUCGAGGCAUAAUAGAACAAUAUAAUUAGGUUUUACUCUUUGUUCGAUAGAAUGAGAAAAAGUACUCAUUGCAAAGUUAUACUGUUAGGGCGCAACCGAAUAGUCUAAUGUUGUUCCGGUUUUGGUUCUUGUGAACGCUGACAUCAAUUGGUUCGAAAUUACAACUCUCGGGGCAUAAUUGAACAAUAUAAAUUAGGUUUUACUCUUUGUUCGAUAGAAUGAGAAAAAGAACUCGUCGCAAAGUUAUACUGCUAGGGGGCAACUGAGUAGUCUAAUAUUGUUCCGGUUUUGGUUCUUGUGAACGUUGACAUCGAUUCGUUCCAAAUUUACACUCUCGGGGCAUAAUAGAACAAUACAAUUAAGUUUUACUCUUUGUUCGAUCGAAUGAGAAAAAGUACUCGUUGCAAAUUUAUAAUAUUAGGGCGCAGCUGAGUAGUCUAAUGUUGUUCCGGUUUUGGUUCUUGUGAAGGUUGACAUCGAUUCGUUCCAAAUUUACACUCUUGGGGCAUAAUAGAACAAUAUAAUUAGCUUUUACACUUUGUUCGAUCGAAUGGGAAAAAAGUACUCGUUACAAAGUUAUACUGUUAGGGCGCAACUGAGUAGUCUAUUGUUGUUCCAGCUUUGGUUCUUAUGAAGGUUGACAUCGAUUCAUUCCAAAUUUACACUCUCGCGGCAUAAUAGAACAAUAUAAUUAGCUUUUACACUUUGUUCGAUUGAAUGAGAAAAAGUACUAGUUGCAAAGUUAUAUUGUUGGGGUACAACAGAGUAGUCUAUUGUUGUUCCGGUUUUGGUUCUAGUGAAAGUUGACAUCGAUUCGUUCCAAAUUUACACUCUCGGGGCAUAAUGAAUAAAAUAAUUAGCUUUUACACUUUGUUCGAUUGAAUGAGAAAAAGUACUAGUUGCAAAGUUAUACUGUUGGGGCGCAACAGAGUAGUCUACUGUUGUUCCGGUUUUGGUUCUUGUUAAGGUUGACAUCGAUUCAUUCCAAAUUUACACUCUCGGGGCAUAAUAGGACAAUAUAAUUAGGUUUUACUCUUUGUUCGAUAGAAUGAGAAAAAGUACUCAUUGCAAAGUUCUACUGUUAGGGCGCAACUGAAUAGCGUUAUGUUGUUACGGUUUUGGUUCUUGUGAACGUUGACAUCGAUUCGUUCGAAAUUACAACUCUCGCGGCAUAAUUGAACAAUAUAAUUAGGUUUUACACUUUGUUCAAUAGAAUGAGAAAAAGUACUCGUCGCAAAGUUAUACUGUUGGGGCGCAACUAAGUAGUCUAAUGUUGUUCCGGUUUUGGUUCUUGUGAACGUUGACAUCGAUUCGUUCCAAAUUUACACUCUCGGGGCAAAAUAGGACAAUAUAAUUAAGUUUUACGCUUUGUUCGAUCGAAUGAGAAAAUGUACGCGUUGCAAAUUUAUACUGUUAGGGCGCAGCUGGGUAGUCUAAUGUUGUUCCGGUUUCGGUUCAUGUGAAGGUUGACAUCGAUUCGUUCCAAAUGUACACUCUUGGGGCAUAAUAGAACAAUAUAAUUAGCUUUUACACUUUGUUCAAUCGAAUGGAAAAAAAUACUCGUUGCAAAGUUAUACUGUUAGGGCGCAGCUUAGUAGUCUAAUGUUGUUCCGGUUUUGGUUCUUGUGAAGGUUGACAUCGAUUCGUUCUAAAUUUACACUCGCGGGGCAUAAUAGAACAAUAUAAUUAGCUUUUACACUUUGUUCGGUCGAAUGGGAAAAAGUACUCGUUGCAAAGUUAUACUGUUAGGGCGGAACUGAGUAGACUAUUGUUGUUCCGGUUUUGGUUCUUGUGAAGGUUGACAUCGAUUCGUUCCAAAUUUACACUCUUGGGGCAUAAUAGAACAAUAUAAUUAGUUUUUACACUUUGUUCGAUUGAUUAAGAAAAAGUACUAGUUGCAAAGUUAUACUGUUGGGGCGCAACAGAGUAGUCUAUUGUUGUUCCGGUUUUGAUUCUUGCUAAGGUUGACAUCGAUUCGUUCCAAAUUUACACUCUCGGGGCAUAAUAGAACAAUAUAAUUUGGUUUUACUCUUUGUUCGAUAGAAUAAGAAAAAGUAGUCAUUGCAAUGUUAUACUGUUAGGGCGCCACUGAAUAGUCUAAUAUUGUUCCGGUUUUGGUUCUUGUGAACGUUGACAUCGAUUCGUUCGAAAUUACAACUCUCGGGGCAUAAUUGAACAAUAUAAUUAGGUUUUACUCUUUGUUCGAUAGAAUGAGAAAAAGUACUCGUCGCAAAGUUAUACUGCUAGGGCGCAACUGAGUAGUCUAAUGUUGUUCCGAUUUUGGUUCUUGUGAACGUUGACAUCGAUUCGUUCCAAAUUUACACUCUCGGGGCACAAUUGAACAAUAUAAUUAGGUUUUACUCUUUGUUCGAUAAAAAGAGAAAAAGUACUCGUUGCAAAGUUAUACUGUUAGGGCGCAACAGAGUAGUCUAAUGUUGUUCCGGUUUUCGUUCUUGUGAACGGUGACAUCGAUUCGUUCCAAAUUUACACUCUCGGGNCUGGGAACUUGUUGUACACAAUCUCGUCGUUGUGCCUUGGGCGGACAGGGGAGGUACUGUCCGUACGGCGGUCCGCCGCCGUGCCCGAACCGAACCAAAUUGGUAUCGGCCUCGGGGCGGGGGCGUGACAGAAAAAUUACUAGUUGCAAAGUUAUACUGUUGGGGCGCAACAGAGUAGUCUAUUGUUGUUCCGGUUUUGGUUAUUGUUAAGGUUGACAUCGAUUCGUUUCAAAUUUACACUCUCGAGGCAUAAUAGAACAAUAUAAUUAGGUUUUACUCUUUGUUCGAUAGAAUGAGAAAAAGUACUCAUUGCAAAGUUAUACUGUUAGGGCGCAACCGAAUAGUCUAAUGUUGUUCCGGUUUUGGUUCUUGUGAACGCUGACAUCAAUUGGUUCGAAAUUACAACUCUCGGGGCAUAAUUGAACAAUAUAAAUUAGGUUUUACUCUUUGUUCGAUAGAAUGAGAAAAAGAACUCGUCGCAAAGUUAUACUGCUAGGGGGCAACUGAGUAGUCUAAUAUUGUUCCGGUUUUGGUUCUUGUGAACGUUGACAUCGAUUCGUUCCAAAUUUACACUCUCGGGGCAUAAUAGAACAAUACAAUUAAGUUUUACUCUUUGUUCGAUCGAAUGAGAAAAAGUACUCGUUGCAAAUUUAUAAUAUUAGGGCGCAGCUGAGUAGUCUAAUGUUGUUCCGGUUUUGGUUCUUGUGAAGGUUGACAUCGAUUCGUUCCAAAUUUACACUCUUGGGGCAUAAUAGAACAAUAUAAUUAGCUUUUACACUUUGUUCGAUCGAAUGGGAAAAAAGUACUCGUUACAAAGUUAUACUGUUAGGGCGCAACUGAGUAGUCUAUUGUUAUUCCAGUUUUGGUUCUUGUGAAGGUUGACAUCGAUUCGUUCCAAAUUUACACUCUCGGGGCAUAAUAGAACAAUAAAAUUAGCUUUUACACUUUGUUCGAUUGAAUAAGAAAAAGUACUAGUUGCAAAGUUAUAUUGUUGGGGUGCAACAGAGUAGUCUAUUGUUUUUCCGAUUUUGGUUCUGGUGAAGGUUGAUAUCGAUUCGUUCCAAAUUUACACUCUCGGGGCAUAAUGAAUAAAAUAAAUAGCUUUUACACUUUGUUCGAUUGAAUGAGAAAAAGUACUAGUUGCAAAGUUAUACUGUUGGGGCGCAACAGAGUAGUUUACUGUUGUUCCGAUUUUGGUUCUUGUUAAGGUUGACAUCGAUUCAUUCCAAAUUUACACUCUCGGGGCAUAAUAGAACAAUACAAUUAAGUUUUACUCUUUGUUCGAUCGAAUGAGAAAAAGUACUCGUUGCAAAAUUAUGCUGUUAGGGCGCAACUGAGUAGUCUAGUGUUGUUCCGAUUUUGGUUCUUGUGAAGAUUGACAUCGAUUCGUUCCAAAUUUACACUCUCGGGGCAUAAUAGAACAAUAUAAUUAGCUUUUACACUUUGUUCGAUUGAAUGAGAAAAAGUACUAGUUGCAAAGUUAUACUGUUGGGGCGCAACAGAGUAGUCUAUUGUUGUUCCGGUUUUGGUUCUUGUUAAGGUUGACAUCGAUUCGUUCCAAAUUUACACUCUCGGGGCAUAAUAGAACAAUAUAAUUAGGUUUUACUCUUUGUUCGAUCGAAUGAGAAAAAGUACUCGUUGCAAAGUUAUACUGUUAGGGCGCAACUGAGUAGUCUAAUGUUGUUCCGGUUUUGGUUCUUGUGAACGUUGACAUCGAUUCGUUCGAAUUUACACUCUCGCGGCAUAAUAGAACAAUAUAAUUAGGUUUUACACUUUGUUCGAUAGAAUGAGAAAAAGUACUCGUUGCAAAGUUAUACUGUUAGGGCGCAACUGAGUAGUCUAAUGUUGUUCCGGUUUUGGUUCUUGUGAACGUUGACAUCGAUUCGUUCCAAAUUUACACUCUCGGGGCAUAAUAGAACAAUAUAAUUAGGUUUUACGCUUUGUUCGAUUGAAUGAGAAAAAGUACUCGUUGCAAAGUUAUACUGUUAGGGCGCAACUGAGUAGUCUAAUGUUGUUCCGGUUUUGGUUCUUGUGAACGUUGACAUCGAUUCGUUCCAAAUUUACACUCUCGGGGCAUAAUAGAACAAUAUAAUUAGNNNNNNNNNNNNNNNNNNNNNNNNNAGAUCGAUUCGUUCCAAAUUUACACUCUCGGGGCAUAAUAGGAAGUUUUUACUUCUUGUUCGAUAGAAUAAGAAAAAGUACUCAUCGCAAAGUUAUACUGUUAUGGCGCAACUGAGUAGUCUAAUGUUGUUCCGGUUUUGGUUCUUGUCAACGUUGACAUCGAUUCGUUCUAAAUUUACACUCUCGACGCUUGAACAAUAUAAUUAGGUUUUACUCUUUAUUCGAUUGAAUGAGAAAAAGGACUAGUUGCAAUGUUAUACUGUUAGGGCUCAACUGAGUAGUCUAACGUUCUUCCGGUUUUGGUUCUUGUGAACGCUGACAUUGAUUCGUUCCGAAUUUACACCCUUGGGGCAUAAAAGAAAGCUUUUACUCCUUGUUCGAUGAUUGAGAAAAAGUACUCAUUGCAAAGUUAUACUGUUAUGGCGCAAUAGAGUAGUCUAAUGUUGUUCCGGUUUUGGUUCUUGUGAACAUUGACGUCAAUUAGUUCCAAAUUUACACUCUCGGGGCAUAAUAGAACAAUAUUAUUAUGUUUUACGCUUUAUUCGAUUGAACGAGAAAAAGUACUCGUCGCAAAGUUAUUCUAUUAGGCGCAACUGAGUAGUCUAAUGUAGUUCCGGUUAUGGUACUUGUGAACGUUGACAUCGAUUCGUUCCAAAUUUACACUCUCGGGGCAUAAUAGAAAGCUUUUACUCCUUGUUCAAUAGAAUUAGAAAAAGUACUCGUUGCAAAGUUAAACUGUUAAGGCACACAGAGUAGUCUAUUGUUGUUCCGAUUUUGGUUCUUGUCAACGUUGACAUCGAUUCGUUCCAAAUUUACACUCUUGGGGUAUAAUAGAACAAUAUAAUUAGGUUUUACUCUUUAGUCGAUUGAAUGAGAAAAAGUACUAGUUGCAAUGUAAUACUAUCAGGGCUCAACUGAGUAGUCUAACGUUGUUUCUGUUUUGGUUCUUGUGAACGUUGACAUCGAUUCGUUCAAAAUUUACACUCUCGGGGAAUAAUAAAAAGCUUUUACUCCUUACUCGAAACAAUGAGAAAAAGUACACGUUGCAAAGUUAUGCUAUUAUGGCGCAACAGAGUAGCCUAAUGUAGUUCCGGUUUUGGUUCUUGUCAACGUUGACAUCGAUUCGUUCCAAAUAUACACUCUCGGGGCAUAAUAGAACAAUAUCGUUUGGUUUUACUCUUUAUUCGAUUGAAUGAGAGAAAGUACUCGUUGCAAAGUUAUACUGUUAUGGCAAAACUGAGUAGUCAAAUUUAGUUCCUGUUUUGGUUCUUGUGAACUUUGACUUCGAUUCGUUCCAAAUUUAUACUCUCGAGGCAUAAUAGAACAAUAUUAUUAGUUUUGCUAUUUGUUCGAUUGAAUGAGAACAAGUUCUAGUUGCAAAGUUAUACUGUCAAGGCUCAACUGAGUAGUCAAACGUUGUUCCGGUUUUGGUUUUUGUGAACGUCAACAUCGUUACGUUGCAAAUUUACACUCUCGGGGCAUAAUAGAAAGCUUUUACACCUUGUUCGAUAGAAAGAGAAAAAGUACUCGUUGCAAAAUUAUAUUGUUAUGGCGCAACAGAGUAGUCUAAUGUUAUUUCAGGUUUGGUUCUUGUGAACAUUGACAUCGAUUCAUACCAAAUUUACACUCUCGGUGCAUAAUAGAACAACAUAAGUAGGUUUUGCUCUUUGUUCGAUUGAAUGAGAAAAAGUACUAGUUGCAAUCUUAUACUGUUAGGGCUCAACUGAGUUGUCUAACGUUGUUUCGGUUUUGGUUCUCGUGAACGUUGACAUCGAUUCNNNNNNNNNNNNNNNNNNNNNNNNNAUACUGUUAUGGCGCAACUGAGUAGUCUAAUGUUGUUCCAGUUUUGGUUCUUGUGAACGUUGACAUCGAUUCGUUCCAAAUUAAAACUCUCCGGUAAUAAUAGAACAAUAUAAUUAGGUUUUGCUCUUUGUUCGAUUGAAUGAGAAAAAAUACUAGUUGCAAAGUUAUACUGUUAGGGCUCAACUGAGUAGUCUAACGUUGUUCCGGUUUUAGUUCGUGCGAACGUUGACAUUGAUUCGCUCCAAAUUUACACUCUCGGGGCAUAAUAGAUAGCUUUUACUCCUUAUUCGAUAGAAUUAGAAAAAGUACUCGUUGCAAAGUUAAACUGUUAAGGCGCAACUGAGUAGUCUAGCGUUGUUCCAGUUUUGGUUCUUGUGAACGUUGACAUCGAUUCGUUCCAAAUUUACACUCUCGGGGUAUAAUAGAACAAUAUAAUUAGGUUUUACUCUUUGUUCAAUUGAAUAAGAAAAAGUACUGGUUGCAAUGUCAUACUGUUAGGGCUCAACUGAGUAGUCUAACGUUCUUCCGAUUUUGGUUCUCGUGAACGUUG
RNAcentral lists this long non-coding RNA (6978 nucleotides) under Ananas comosus (pineapple). RNAcentral describes it as "long non-coding RNA (ACOM_LNC029062)". The record is from RNAcentral. Lineage: Eukaryota; Viridiplantae; Streptophyta; Magnoliopsida; Poales; Bromeliaceae.